ACUCCUACGGGAGGCAGCAGUAGGGAAGUCUUCCACAAUGGGCGCAAGCCUGAUGGAGCAACACCGCGUGAGUGAAGAAGGGUUUCGGCUCGUAAAGCUCUGUUGUUAAAGAAGAACACGUAUGAGAGUAACUGUUCAUACGUUGACGGUAUUUAACCAGAAAGUCACGGCUAACUACGUGCCAGCAGCCGCGGUAAUACGUAGGUGGCAAGCGUUAUCCGGAUUUAUUGGGCGUAAAGAGAGUGCAGGCGGUUUUCUAAGUCUGAUGUGAAAGCCUUCGGCUUAACCGGAGAAGUGCAUCGGAAACUGGAUAACUUGAGUGCAGAAGAGGGUAGUGGAACUCCAUGUGUAGCGGUGGAAUGCGUAGAUAUAUGGAAGAACACCAGUGGCGAAGGCGGCUACCUGGUCUGCAACUGACGCUGAGACUCGAAAGCAUGGGUAGCGAACAGGAUUAGAUACCCU
RNAcentral lists this ribosomal RNA (462 nucleotides) under uncultured bacterium. RNAcentral's name for it is "bacterial SSU rRNA". It matches the Rfam family "Bacterial small subunit ribosomal RNA", at positions 335 to 788 of the family's 1533-position model. The record is from RNAcentral.